This 496-nucleotide ribosomal RNA is filed under the name uncultured bacterium. RNAcentral describes it as "partial 16S ribosomal RNA". It matches the Rfam family "Bacterial small subunit ribosomal RNA", at positions 28 to 506 of the family's 1533-position model. The record is from RNAcentral.
GACGAACGCUGGCGGCGUGCCUAAUACAUGCAAGUUGAGCGCUGAAGGUUGGUACUUGUACCAACUGGAUGAGCAGCGAACGGGUGAGUAACGCGUGGGGAAUCUGCCUUUGAGCGGGGGACAACAUUUGGAAACGAAUGCUAAUACCGCAUAAAAACUUUAAACACAAGUUUUAAGUUUGAAAGAUGCAAUUACAUCACUCAAAGAUGAUCCCGCGUUGUAUUAGCUAGUUGGUGAGGUAAAGGCUCACCAAGGCGAUGAUACAUAGCCGACCUGAGAGGGUGAUCGGCCACAUUGGGACUGAGACACGGCCCAAACUCCUACGGGAGGCAGCAGUAGGGAAUCUUCGGCAAUGGACGAAAGUCUGACCGAGCAACGCCGCGUGAGUGAAGAAGGUUUUCGGAUCGUAAAACUCUGUUGGUAGAGAAGAACGUUGGUGAGAGUGGAAAGCGCAUCAAGUGACGGUAACUACCCAGAAGGGGACGGCGAACUACGU